AGAGGUCUACACAUGUGGCUAUAUGCUGAGAUGGUCUGGUUUUAUUACUUGGACUGAAUUUGAUGCUGAUUGGGGAGGUGAGGAGGAGUAUUCUGGUUUAGGUUCAGCCUCCUGCACAGCGCAAUCAUGAUGCAAAGGACAAGAGCAAGACCCAAACUGAGCCUCCCCUCCAACUGCCUCUGCACGUGAUGAAGCACUCAUCGGUAUCGCCUUUAGUUAUUGACUGCUUUGCAAAUUGCUAUUGAGCAAGUGAGGAAGUGAUAAUUGCUGCUUUCGUUCCUUUCCUUGUGAUGGUGCAGGCUGCCACUAAAGAACUGAAGUCCUCAAGGAUUCCGCUUUCUCUCUCUCUUUCUCUUCCUCUUCCUCUCUUUUAAAUUAAAGCAUCAAGUCAUUGCUAAAAAGUACAUUACCAAGUGCAGUUUUGUACAGAAACCUGCGGCAAAAAUCAUAUGACAGCUCCGCAUGCAGACUGAAAGAAAAGAAACGUUCUUGGAAACUCCCAGGGAAAAACCGGAGCCAGUUUAACAAGUCACAGGUGGGAUUUCGUUAAUGGGUGUCAUAAUCGCUGCGUAACUCGUGGCCAAUCUAAAACAAUAGCUGCCCUUCACAGCUGCACCGAGAGCUCUGUGGUUUUUUGCUUUCCUUGCCAGCAUGUGGUUGUGUUGGGGCAUUGCAGCAAUCACCGAACGGUGCUAAUUAAUGAGAGCAAGAUAGGUUUGGUGAGGCUCUUGUACUGAUGCGUGGUGUUGUUGGUUCACAAGAGCUUAAACCCAAGGGACUUUUGGAUCCAUCUUCGUGUUUGAGUGUGUUCUUGCGCAGCAUUAAAGUGGCUCAACCUUCGGGUGGAUGGGUCUGAGUCCUGCAGCAAAAUCCCUCCUCCGAGGUUGAACGGACUCAGUCCCAGCGAGCUGCAGGGCAGGAAGCGCUGCUUCCUGAGCUUGGAAGGAAUGUAUUUCAGAUUUGCCCGGCUCUUAGUGGGAUUUAGCUGCUGUUCAGUGCUUUGUCGCCAGGAGCUUCAGAGGAACGCAGACACCAGCACUGGGUGCCAGGGCUGGUCAAGGAAUCAGGCAGCAAAGUCCUGUGUGCACCUUCCAGUGACUGCACCUCAUCUCUGGUCUGGAAUAGCACGUCACAAAGUGGUCUCACUGCACAGGGACAUCCAUGUUUCAAUGAGGAGCAUUCAUCCAUCGUGGCUACUGGAAGGAUCAUAGAAUCACCAAGGUUGGAAAAGAUCAUCCAGUCCAACCAUGCACCUACCACCCCUAUUUCCCCAUUGAAUCGUGUCCCUUAGUACCAAAUCUAAAUGUUUCUUGAGCACUUCCAGGGUCUUUGACUCCACCACCUUCCUGUGAAGCCCAUUCCAGUGCCUGGACACUCUUUUGGAGAAGAAAUUGUUCCUAAAAUCCAACCUGAACAUUCCCUGCCACAACUUAAGGCCAUUCCAUCUCAUCCUAUCACUAAUGCAGAAGGAGAAGUGGGGUUGGUUUAAGCUUGUGCACCAGCAAAUUGUGAACCAGAGCUGAGCAUUUUUGUGGUUGAUGGGAUGGGAACCCAAAAGAAACCAACCUGAGUUGUAGCUGCUAACUGGUGUUCCCAGGGCUGCCUUUUUAACUGCAAGCACAGCUCAAUGCAAUGCAGAGGCAUUCCUAGAGCUCAUUAAUAAAGUAGUGGAGAGAUCGUUAAAGCA
This 1687-nucleotide long non-coding RNA is filed under the name Coturnix japonica (Japanese quail). RNAcentral's name for it is "lncRNA (ENSCJPG00005015493.1)". The record is from RNAcentral. Lineage: Eukaryota; Metazoa; Chordata; Aves; Galliformes; Phasianidae.